GUAGGUGGCAAGCGUUGUCCGGAAUUAUUGGGCGUGAAGCGCGCGCAGGCGGUCCUUUAAGUCUGAUGUGAAAGCCCACGGCUCAACCGUGGAGGGUCAUUGGAAACUGGGGGACUUGAGUACAGAAGAGGAAAGCGGAAUUCCACGUGUAGCGGUGAAAUGCGUAGAGAUGUGGAGGAACACCAGUGGCGAAGGCGGCUUUCUGGUCUGUAACUGACGCUGAGGCGCGAAAGCGUGGGGAGCAAACAGGGAUUAGAUACCCUGGUAGUCCACGCCGUAAACGAUGAGUGCUAAGUGUUAGGGGGGUUUCCGCCCCCUUAGUGCUGCAGCUAACGCAUUAAGCACUCCGCCUGGGGAGUACGGCCGCAAGGCUG
RNAcentral lists this ribosomal RNA (374 nucleotides) under uncultured organism. RNAcentral's name for it is "partial 16S ribosomal RNA". It matches the Rfam family "Bacterial small subunit ribosomal RNA", at positions 527 to 896 of the family's 1533-position model. The record is from RNAcentral.